RNAcentral lists this ribosomal RNA (739 nucleotides) under uncultured bacterium. RNAcentral's name for it is "bacterial SSU rRNA". It matches the Rfam family "Bacterial small subunit ribosomal RNA", at positions 10 to 795 of the family's 1533-position model. The record is from RNAcentral.
AGUUUGAUCCUGGCUCAGAGCGAACGCUGGCGGCAGGCCUAACACAUGCAAGUCGAACGGAUCCUUCGGGAUUAGUGGCGGACGGGUGAGUAACACGUGGGAACGUGCCCUUUGGUUCGGAACAACUCAGGGAAACUUGAGCUAAUACCGGAUGUGCCCUUCGGGGGAAAGAUUUAUCGCCAUUGGAGCGGCCCGCGUCUGAUUAGCUAGUUGGUGGGGUAAAGGCCCACCAAGGCGACGAUCAGUAGCUGGUCUGAGAGGAUGAUCAGCCACAUUGGGACUGAGACACGGCCCAAACUCCUACGGGAGGCAGCAGUGGGGAAUCUUGCGCAAUGGGCGAAAGCCUGACGCAGCCAUGCCGCGUGAAUGAUGAAGGUCUUAGGAUUGUAAAAUUCUUUCACCGGGGACGAUAAUGACGGUACCCGGAGAAGAAGCCCCGGCUAACUUCGUGCCAGCAGCCGCGGUAAUACGAAGGGGGCUAGCGUUGCUCGGAAUUACUGGGCGUAAAGGGAGCGUAGGCGGACUGUUUAGUCAGAGGUGAAAGCCCAGGGCUCAACCUUGGAAUUGCCUUUGAUACUGGCAGUCUUGAGUACGGAAGAGGUAUGUGGAACUCCGAGUGUAGAGGUGAAAUUCGUAGAUAUUCGGAAGAACACCAGUGGCGAAGGCGACAUACUGGUCCGUUACUGACGCUGAGGCUCGAAAGCGUGGGGAGCAAACAGGAUUAGAUACCCUGGUAGUC